UGUGUAGGCGGUUGCUUAAGUUUGGUGUGAAAUCUCCCGGCUCAACCGGGAGGGUGCGCCGAAUACUGAGUGACUCGAGUGCGGGAGAGGAGAGUGGAAUUCCUGGUGUAGCGGUGAAAUGCGUAGAUAUCAGGAGGAACACCGGUGGUGUAGACGGCUCUCUGGACCGUAACUGACGCUGAGACACGAAAGCGUGGGUAGCAAACAGGAUUAGAUACCCUGGUAGUCCACGCCCUAAACGAUGCAUAUUUGGUGUGGGCAGUUCAGUCUGUCCGUGCCGGAGCUAACGCGUUAAAUAUGCCGCCUGGGGAGUACAGUCGCAAGGCUGAA
This 330-nucleotide ribosomal RNA is filed under the name uncultured bacterium. Its description in RNAcentral is "bacterial SSU rRNA". It matches the Rfam family "Bacterial small subunit ribosomal RNA", at positions 568 to 898 of the family's 1533-position model. The record is from RNAcentral.